RNAcentral lists this long non-coding RNA (439 nucleotides) under Jatropha curcas. RNAcentral's name for it is "long non-coding RNA (JCUR_LNC002304)". Lineage: Eukaryota; Viridiplantae; Streptophyta; Magnoliopsida; Malpighiales; Euphorbiaceae. The record is from RNAcentral.
GAGUCCUCCAAGAUUUCAGCUCUUCUUCUCAUUUGCAUGCUUUUCAUUUCCUCUGCUGCUCCAAUUCUUGGCUGUGGCAGUUGUGGCAAACCACGGCAUAAGCACAAAAGCCCUAAAAGACCAAAAACUGUUCCUCCAAUUGUUAAGCCUCCAAUUAAUUUGCCUCCUGUUACAGUUCCUCCAAUUGUAAAACCACCAAUCACACUCCCUCCCGUUACAGUUCCUCCAAUUGUAAAACCACCAGUGACACUCCCUCCUGUUACAGUUCCUCCAAUUGUGAAGCCACCAGUUACGCUCCCUCCUGUUACAGUCCCUCCGGUUACAGUUCCUCCAGUUUUAAAUCCACCAAAGGGAAGUGGGAAAAAACCUUGCCCAUCACCACCAGCAAAACAGGAGACUUGCCCUAUUGACACACUGAAAUUAGGGGCUUGUGUUGAUU